RNAcentral lists this long non-coding RNA (512 nucleotides) under Equus asinus (donkey). RNAcentral describes it as "lncRNA (ENSEASG00005025668.1)". Lineage: Eukaryota; Metazoa; Chordata; Mammalia; Perissodactyla; Equidae. The record is from RNAcentral.
AGGCAGUUCUGCUCAGAAGCUUCCAUCUUUGCACCUUAAGUCCAAAAGCAACUCUUAAUGUGAGGCCUUGUGAAAUCUCAUAUAGCUUAGCAUCAUCAUGUCCCUGAGCCUAUCCAUUCUUGAAAUGUCUCUGGGAUAUAGUCUAACCACUACUGAAAGUCUUUUUUCUGGACCAUUAUGUCUCACAAAUAUUAUGUCUCACAAAUUUCUGAUGGCAGUUAGCUCAUAUCAGAGGUUCUAAAGACUGCUGAACAGUACCACUUGGCAUCAGGGAUACCACGUGUGUCCACAUCUGUAGUGGAAGUGGAGUCAGCCAUACCCAACCAUAUCAAAUGGGUUCUCCAAAGGAAAGCAGAUUUUGUUACCAGAAAGAGGAAAAUUUGCCGAGCGACCCCCAACAGAGAUACCCUUCCACCAUGCAUGGCGUGGGGGCUAGUAAUGGAAGUGACUCAGAAUCGCCCAAAUUCACAAUGAUGGGUAGUGCGGAGAACAUGCAUUGCACUGGAAGAGAA